Molecule: long non-coding RNA, 2512 nt
Organism: Dicentrarchus labrax (European seabass)
Lineage: Eukaryota; Metazoa; Chordata; Actinopteri; Moronidae
Exons: 3
Source: RefSeq, a predicted model, not a curated record
UGGAAGGGUGGAGAUCUUCUACAACAGCCAGUGGGUGACGGUGUGUGACAAAGGCUGGGGGACCGAUUUGGGUCGAUAACCUUCAGUGUUCACGACUCAUCAAUAACUGACUGUGUAAAUCAGGGAAUGGGCUCCCACAACUGUCAUCAUGGAGAGGGUGCUAUGUGUCAUCUGUGAAGGUAAACAUGUAUACAAUCAAUUUAACCUUUUAGUUUGUUAGUUUUAGGUUUAGGUUCUGACAUUAUACAAUAAGAUCAAAGUUUAUCUAUAGGCUGCUGAGCUUGUUUGUUCCAGUAAUCAGCUCGAAGUUGGUGUGCGUUUGGGCAGCCCACGGUCAUCUGGUUUGAACGCAUUCUCUGGUCACUUGGCAGCCCCUUACUGUUCCCAAUACAGAGUGCAUAACAACACCACGGCAGGCUGGCAUCUGUGGAAAUGUACUGAUGUUUUGCAGAAUGAGGGCAUAUCGCUCUGUUCCCAACACAGCCGAGCUGAAUCCCAUCACCAUUGGACCAAUCACCUGGGAAAGUUGACAAGGUGGGGGACUGAGCUGAGAGACACUUUAAAAUGACGCACACACAUUGUUGUGUUGUUGUUUUUUUUUACAUAUUGUAUGAUUUAAUCAUUUAAUCACACACUUAACAUCAAUCAUAUCAAUAUUAGUAUCAUCGCUAUUAAUACAGUAUGUAGGAUAUUCUCAAUUUUGGGUCUAUUUAAGCUUGUUAGCAAUAAUGCUGUUUUCUCUUUUAGCCAGGAUUAUUUAUUUUAGGAAAGGAAUGUUAGUAACUAAAGCUGUCACACAAAUGUAAAAAGUAAAAUAUUUCCCUCUGACAUGUAGUGGAGUAAAAGUAUAAAGCUGCCUAAAAUGGAAAUACACAAGUAAAGUAAAAGUACCUACCAGUACUUAAGUGAUCGUUUGAAGCACUCUUACCCUAGCAGAGACUACCCCCAUGUGGAUUGACAGGUGUACUGCAUGCUUGCACUCGACAGUGUAAAACUCCCAUAUUGCUCCCUAGUUAACCUCACCCUGGUGAUUAAAACCUGUUCAUAUAGCGUAUUGUCCCAGACAGAUGUCUUAAUUUCUUCACUAAGUUUCUCCAUAAAAGCCCAACUCUUCAUAAAGCCACUGUAAAUAGGGUAUGAACAUUUCUGUAAAUUGCCUCAUAUAAUAUCUUAAGUUUUGCUCCUCUUGUGAAAGUCUACCUGAAUGUUAUUGUUGGAAACCUUGCCUUUUCUGUGUUCCUACAAAAAGCUGUUUUGUCUCAACUAGGUUUUUUUUUUCAUCAUUAGAAGAAGAAGAUUGUUCUAAAUUGUUCUUCAUCAUUAUAUGAUUACAAUUAUUCUUGUAAAUGUUGUUGAUAAUGUCUGUCCGCCAUUUUUUAGUGCUGGGCAGGUAAUGUGCAGCUGGUUUAUUGGAGCUUUUUUGCUGGAAAAAGCUGCCUGGGAGUGUUGAACCAUACAUUAUAUUUGUGGCUGUGAUCCAAAACAUUCAGCUAAAAGAGGCCACAUCGCUCAGUUGGUUGAUAAUGCUCUUUAGCAAGCCUUACAAAUUGCGUGUUGUCAUUUGAUUUGAAUAAUAUUGUUAAGCUUUUAGCUGUAACUGAACACUAGAAACAGACAAUAUAUCGGCUGUCUGUGAACAGGUCAAAGGCCUCCACCAGGAGUCAGUGGAUGGCCGUCAAAAGUCCAGCCUUGAACAGAGACAUGGUUAUGUCCAUAUGUGACCAAAAUUCCACACCUAAAUCAAGUACUGACUGAGCAAACUCCAUUUACUGAUGAACUGCAAGCUACAGAACAAGGACCAGUGUAUUGGAUUUAGUAGCAUCUAGCAGUGUAGUUGCAGGUUGUAACACCGCUAGCGUCCGUAUCUGAUGACCUGGGAAUGAGAACAGUGAACUCUAAUCUCAGAUGAACAUAGUGAAGCAAUUAGCACCUAAAGAGCUUGUUAUUUUCCUUAGAACACAGUAGAGAACUAAAAGAGAGUGAAUAUCAGAUUUAUUCUCCAGGUGGUGACGGAUAUGACUUUGAAUGAAUGAUAAGUGUUCUGUAACAGCUGGAUGUGUAAUGUGUGUGUGUGUUAAUGUGGUAAUGAUAUGUCAGAGUUAUGUUCACAACUUCUUUGCGCUGCCCCCAAGUGGCCAAAAAAUCAGUUAUUGUAAGUUUAAAGGUGCAGGGAAGACAGAGCAGAGAACCCACUGCAGUAUGGUUAGGACAGACCCAUUCCAGUGGGGAAGUGUCAUUAAGAAAGUCCUCACUUUCUACCAAUCCCAAGAGGACGUGAAUACAACGCUGCCUUCAAGGGCUGUAGGACAUAUUGAAUUUUAAAGUUGGUGUCCCAUAUGAGCUAUCAAAGUGCGAAAGUCUCGCUUACAGCCAGAAACAUUAACUGUGCAGUUCAGUAAACAGCAGAUUCCUUUAGCCUGGACGUUUUUGCCUGUGUGUAGAUAUCGAAGAUGUAAACCAUUGUUGGGUCCAGCUUUCUGUGGACUCAGCACUUUUCAUUUUUGUUAAUUUU